RNAcentral lists this ribosomal RNA (396 nucleotides) under bacterium symbiont of Megymenum gracilicorne. Its description in RNAcentral is "bacterial SSU rRNA". It matches the Rfam family "Bacterial small subunit ribosomal RNA", at positions 527 to 920 of the family's 1533-position model. The record is from RNAcentral.
GGAGGGUGCAAGCGUUAUCCGGAUUUACUGGGUUUAAAGGGUGUGUAGGCGGACAUUUACGUCUGGGGUGAAAUCUCCGAGCUCAACUCGGAAACUGCCUUGGAUACUAUUUGUCUUGAAUUAUGUUGAGGUAGGCGGAAUAUAACAUGUAGCGGUGAAAUGCAUAGAUAUGUUAUAGAACACCGAUUGCGAAGGCAGGUCACUAUGUCUUAACUGACGCUGAUGGACGAAAGCGUGGGGAGCGAACAGGAUUAGAUACCCUGGUAGUCCACACCGUAAACGUUGGGCGCUAGGUGUGGGAUCCAUUCCACGGGUUCCGUGCCGCAGCUAACGCAUUAAGCGCCCCGCCUGGGGAGUACGGCCGCAAGGCUAAAACUCAAAGGAAUUGACGGGGGC